AGCGAACGCUGGCGGCAGGCUUAACACAUGCAAGUCGAGCGGGCAUCCUUGUGGUGUCAGCGGCAGACGGGUGAGUAACGCGUGGGAACGUGCCCUUCGGUUCGGAAUAACUCAGGGAAACUUGAGCUAAUACCGGAUACGUGCGAGAGCAGAAAGGUUUAUCUGCCGAAGGAUCGGCCCGCGUCUGAUUAGCUAGUUGGUGAGGUUAUGGCUCACCAAGGCGACGAUCAGUAGCUGGUUUGAGAGGAUGACCAGCCACACUGGGACUGCGACACGGCCCAGACUCCUACGGGAGGCAGGAGUGGGGAAUAUUGGACAAUGGGGGCAACCCUGAUCCAGCCAUGCCGCGUGAGUGAUGACGGCCUUAGGGUUGUAAAGCUCUUUUCUCCGGGACGAUAAUGACGGUACCGGAGGAAUAAGCCCCGGCUAACUUCGUG
Molecule: ribosomal RNA, 437 nt
Filed under: uncultured bacterium
Lineage: Bacteria
Description: partial 16S ribosomal RNA
Rfam family: Bacterial small subunit ribosomal RNA
Source: RNAcentral